CACAGCACAGCGGGAGCUGUUCUCCAUGGGAUGUACCCGGGGAGCAGAGGCAGGGGCGGCAUGGGGGUCAUGAGGGGAUCCCUGGGGCAGAAGGCCACAUGUCUGCACCUCUGCAUGUGCUCUGCAGCGCUGAUGCUGGUCAGACGUGCCCACCGCUGCCUCCGGCACAGCUCUGCUAGUGGCUGCCCCGCUGCUCUGCCCCUGCCCAGGUUCCGGGCAAUCCCCCUGUGUGGCGUGGGGGUCAUGGAGCAGCCUGGGCAGUGGGGGAGAUGCAAAGCCCUGUCCCACUGAUGCAGCAGAGCCCCAAACCUGACUGCUCACAGCCUUUUUUCUGCUCUUUUCCCAGCGGCAUCUGCGACUCCCCAGCAGCUGCUGGCCCGGCUCCUGGUGCUGUCAGCAUCCCCCUUCGAGGGAGAAGGGUGCGGAGUGGCUGCGCUGCUCCUGCUGAACGCCCUGCGCCCUGAGAUGUAUGGGGACGAGGCUGAGCAGUGGUGGAUGGAGAUUCCAGCCAUGGUCCAGUAUCUUGAUGGACAUAGCACGUUCUCUCUGGACCAGACCACGUGGGAGCACAAGCUGUUGGAGUUCCUCCGAAAGACCUUGGGGAGGAGCAAAGAGGGCAGCUGGAGCCAGGAUCUGAGCCAGGAGCUGGGCCGGUAGAUGGGCAGCUAUGCCAACGCCUCUGUGGAGAAGGCUUUCCUCUACAAGGCUCUGGGCACAGCCCUGGCCAUGAGCAAAGAUGUGGCUUCAGUGACAGAACAGCUCCGGAAGCUGCUGCGCAUGGCCGACUAUCUGAAUGGUGCAGAGACGGAGUGCCUUAGCUCCUGCCUGCAGCUCUGUGCCAGGGACCAGCUGGAUGCCACCCUGAGAGCUCUGGGCGACUUUGAGGAGGAAAUUGGCGGAGGGGGAGGAUUCCUGGCAUCUCAGGAAGGCCCUGACCCCACGGGACAGGGACAGAGUGAAGAGCGCCCUCCUGCUGUUCUACAGCAGUGCAGCAGCCCAGGCGCUCCCCCAGCAGCUGCUCCCUCAGCUGGCGGACAAGAUCGUACCCAAAAUCCUGCACCAUUACAGCACCGGCUCCCAGGAGAGGGGCAGUGUGCGCUCCGCUGCCAUUUUACUGCUUGGCAACGUGGUGAGCAGCGUGAAGGACCCGGAUAAACCCAUCGUGCAGCAGGAAAUGAUCCACUGCUUGCUCCUGCUGCUGCUGGAUCUUGAAGACCAGGAUGAAAGUGUGACACUGAGAUGCAAACUGAUGCUCUUCCGUUGCGCAGUGUUUCUCAGGUGGGCUCAAUUGAAGACGCUGUUCCGCAGCAUGGCCUGGGAUGGCGCCACAUAGCUCUUGAAGUGUGCCUGGAAGUGCUUGAUGCAGAACAAGAGCCACAUCCCCAAAUUCCUGUUCUAGGCCUUAGAGUACCUGGAAAGCUCACAGACAACAAUCAGACAUUCUGCAGCUCUGUUCAUUGAGCAGGCCUAGGAAAGACUAUCCACCAUUACUGCGAUUUGUUGUCUGAAACAGUGAAUGAAGAUGGCAUCUCCUGCCUGUAUGAAGCUUUUCAAGAAGUGCCUUUGAAAUCUGACAGGACCAGAAGGUACAUCCUCAAUAGACAUUACAAAUGGUUGCAGAAACUUGGAAAUCUCAUGUCAGGUUCUGCAUUCGACUAGGGAACCAGGACCAAUACAGAAAACCUCUUCAUCCUGCUAUGAACUGCUGCCUAGCCACUCGACAGGUGCACUUCUGAACUGUGAGUCUGCACUGACCAGGGACAACAACUAUGAGUGGGGUGUUAAAGGUGGGGCACACUACAGGAACUUUGGAGUUGGACUCAAGAACCUGAAGCAAAAGACACUGCCCAGCGUACACUGGGAAGGGCGUCUUGCUCAUGCUUUUAUGUCUAUGGAUACCGCUUAACUGUUUUCUCAGAUUACUGCUGGGUUACUUUUAUUAAAGAAACGCUACCUCGGACUCUGUGCUUGCGAGAGGGGAAGAAUUGCCUCUUAGAGGCACCCAGGCGGUACAGUGACAUUUCCCCAGGUUCCCGGGUGGGGGCUCGAGCCGGUUCUGGUUGCAUUGUUGAAAAGGAACCCCCUAGGUAUUGAACCUGCCCUUCUCGCUGCCCACUUCAACUGGCAGAAGGGUUACAGACUGAACAGAACAGAACAUGGGAGAGCAGCAACACCUGGCUGCUAACGGGGCAGUUGGACAGACCUUGACUGACCAGGUUAAACUCCCAACUGCUCAUUAAAUACUGAUAUAAAAUCCUCUGCAGACUGUGCCCCAUUUCCCCAAAUUAUCAAAUAAUGAACCCAACGCAGGUCUCUCAAGCACCAACUGUGAAUCACCUGCCCCUCCCCUACUGCUACCCCCCAGCUGAACAAGGGACCUUCUAACUCUAUCCCCGUUCCUGCCUCCUCUUAACAUGCCGUUGCCCAGCGCUCCCCACUGCCCAUGUCAAUGGCAAAAUCUGAGGACGUUUUAUGUUAAUAUUUAAUAAUUAGAUGGAGAAAUGUAAAAUCUAAGGCCCGGGCAGUUGUGUCCCUCCAAAACAGGGAGGAGUUGCUGUUGUUCUAAUGACUGGGGGGGACCCAAGGGGAUUUCACAACAAUCUGUCAUCAUUAGGAAGAAAAUGGAGCAAAGUCUGAAUAUUUGAUAACAAGAGAGAAGUGUGGCAAGAUCUCUUGGGGAAGGAGCAUCGAUAUUCAACAAUCGGACAGUAAAAGGCAAAA
This is an RNA transcript of Mauremys mutica (yellowpond turtle), 2721 nucleotides long. RefSeq lists it as uncharacterized. The record is from RefSeq and is a predicted model, not a curated record. The transcript has 13 exons. NCBI's taxonomy places the organism in Eukaryota, Metazoa, Chordata, Testudines, Geoemydidae.